This 775-nucleotide ribosomal RNA is filed under the name uncultured Neocallimastigales. RNAcentral's name for it is "partial large subunit ribosomal RNA". It matches the Rfam family "Eukaryotic large subunit ribosomal RNA", at positions 26 to 639 of the family's 3401-position model. The record is from RNAcentral. Lineage: Eukaryota; Fungi; Neocallimastigomycota; Neocallimastigomycetes; Neocallimastigales.
CGCAUCUGUGCAUGCAGUAUAUCAAUAAGCGGAGGAAAAGAAACUAACAAGGAUUCCCUUAGUAACGGCGAGUGAAGCGGGAAGAGCUCAAAUUUGAAAUCUUCAAGGUUUUACCUUGACGAAUUGUAGUUUAAAGAAGUGUUUUCUGUUGAAGUUUUGGUAAAAGUUCUUUGGAAUAGGACAUCAUAGAGGGUGAGAAUCCCGUAUUUGACCAUUAUUUUCAGCUGUGUGAUACACUUUCAAAGAGUCGGAUUAGUUUGGGAAUGCAGUCCAAAAUGGGUGGUAAAUUUCAUCUAAAGCUAAAUAUUGGCGAGAGACCGAUAGCGAACAAGUACCGUGAGGGAAAGAUGAAAAGAACUUUGAAAAGAGAGUUAAACAGUACGUGAAAUUGUCAAAAGGGAAGCGUUUGACACCAGUGUUGUUUUCUCGAAAAUCAAUUAAAAAGAGUUAGAUUUUGUUGUGUAUUGACCUUAACAGCUUGCAUUUCAAUUUUCUUGCUUUUUUUAAUGCACUUUUCGUUUAACAAGUCAACAUCAGUUUCUUUUGUUGUAAAAAGGUCAUUGGAAGGUGGCUUUCUUUUCGGAGAAAGUGUUUAUAGCCUUUGACUCCUGCAAUCGGAGAGACUGAGGUCUGCAGCGUAGAUCCUUCGGGGUUAGAUACAUUUGUGCUAAGUUAUAGCUUUUUAUAGACAACUUGUUGACUAUGAUUAGUCUUGUAGCUUACUCGCUUAUGCUAUUUUACCUACGCUUAGGAUGUUGACGCGCGUGUGUGCGUG